RNAcentral lists this transfer RNA (78 nucleotides) under Candidatus Peregrinibacteria bacterium. RNAcentral describes it as "tRNA-Pro". It matches the Rfam family "tRNA". Rfam says of the family: Transfer RNA (tRNA) molecules are approximately 80 nucleotides in length. Their secondary structure includes four short double-helical elements and three loops (D, anti-codon, and T loops). RNAcentral also lists the same sequence under 1 other name. The record is from RNAcentral. Lineage: Bacteria; Candidatus Peregrinibacteriota.
UGGGAUGUGGGGCAGUCUGGUCAGCCUACUCGGUUUGGAACUGAGGUGUCGUGAGUUCGAAUCUCACCAUCCCGACCA